UACGAAGGGGGCUAGCGUUGCUCGGAAUCACUGGGCGUAAAGGGUGCGUAGACGGGUCUUUAAGUCAGGGGUGAAAUCCUGGAGCUCAACUCCAGAACUGCCUUUGAUACUGAGGAUCUUGAGUUCGGGAGAGGUGAGUGGAACUGCGAGUGUAGAGGUGAAAUUCGUAGAUAUUCGCAAGAACACCAGUGGCGAAGGCGGCUCACUGGCCCGAUACUGGCGCUGAGGCACGAAAGCGUGGGGAGCAAACAGG
This 253-nucleotide ribosomal RNA is filed under the name uncultured bacterium. Its description in RNAcentral is "partial 16S ribosomal RNA". It matches the Rfam family "Bacterial small subunit ribosomal RNA", at positions 524 to 776 of the family's 1533-position model. The record is from RNAcentral.